This 460-nucleotide ribosomal RNA is filed under the name uncultured bacterium. RNAcentral's name for it is "bacterial SSU rRNA". It matches the Rfam family "Bacterial small subunit ribosomal RNA", at positions 339 to 796 of the family's 1533-position model. The record is from RNAcentral.
CUACGGGAGGCAGCAGUGAGGAAUAUUGGUCAAUGGGCGAGAGCCUGAACCGGCCAAGUAGCGUGAGGGAUGACUGCCCUAUGGGUUGUAAACCUCUUUUGCAGGGGGGUAAAGUGGUUCACGUGUGGACCAUUGCAAGUACCCUGCGAAUAAGGAUCGGCUAACUCCGUGCCAGCAGCCGCGGUAAUACGGAGGAUCCGAGCGUUAUCCGGAUUUAUUGGGUUUAAAGGGAGCGUAGGCGGGGGUUUAAGUCAGCUGUGAAAUGCCGUGGCCCAACCAUGGAACUGCAGUUGAAACUGGACCUCUUGAGAGUACAUAAGGAAGGCGGAAUUCGUGGUGUAGCGGUGAAAUGCAUAGAUAUCACGAAGAACUCCGAUUGCGAAGGCAGCUUUCCGGGGUACAUCUGACGCUGAAGCUCGAAAGUGCGGGAAUCAAACAGGAUUAGAAACCCUGGUAGUCC